CCUACGGGGGGCUGCAGUGGGGAAUCUUGGACAAUGGGGGCAACCCUGAUCCAGCGAUGCCGCGUGGGUGAAGAAGGCCUUCGGGUUGUAAAGCCCUUUAGGUUGGGAAGAAGCGUAUUUGAAGAUAAUGCGAAUACGUUGACGGUACCAACAGAAUAAGCACCGGCAAACUCUGUGCCAGCAGCCGCGGUAAUACAGAGGGUGCGAGCGUUAAUCGGAUUUACUGGGCGUAAAGGGCGCGUAGGCGGUGGUGUAUGUGUGAUGUGAAAGCCCCG
This 275-nucleotide ribosomal RNA is filed under the name uncultured Aquicella sp. Its description in RNAcentral is "partial 16S ribosomal RNA". It matches the Rfam family "Bacterial small subunit ribosomal RNA", at positions 338 to 605 of the family's 1533-position model. The record is from RNAcentral. Lineage: Bacteria; Pseudomonadati; Pseudomonadota; Gammaproteobacteria; Legionellales; Coxiellaceae.